Molecule: long non-coding RNA, 2207 nt
Filed under: Varroa destructor (honeybee mite)
Lineage: Eukaryota; Metazoa; Arthropoda; Arachnida; Mesostigmata; Varroidae
Description: uncharacterized LOC111254200
Source: RNAcentral
UUGUUGCCGUCACCGUCUUCGUCGCUGUUGUUAUUGUUGUUCUUGGUGACGUCCUCCUUGCUAUUGUUGUUGUGCCGAUGCAACUUGCGUUCCCUUUUGUUGCACCCGUGUGUUUUCAAGACCGCUUCCUUCGAGCCAUGAUGAGCGGCAGUUCAAGACAAAAGAGGCUCGCGGUUGCGACGAUCAUUUGAAGGCGCAGUUCAACGAAAAUGAAGGAGCACAGGGCGAAUCUUCGACGUGGUACCGUGAUCACACGGUGCAGCUGAUUCGCAUGCCUUUGUUUGCCUGAUCAUACGAGCGCAUUGCCGGUCGUAUCUUCGCACUAAUAUUGAUAGCAUGUGUAGUAUAGUGUGGCGGAUACGCUUGUAGAGCACACCGUGAGUGGCGUAAAAGUUGUGUAGCAAAACGUAAACCCGCUGUGGUAUUUACUGCGGCAGCCAUAGAAAAGAGCUGCCGACAAUGAACAAACGAAGGGAACAAACGCCGGAAUCCCUUACCGAAGCCCAAAUUCCGGCGUGUGACAUCGGGGCAUAGGCUGUAUGAUACCGGUAAGCGAGCCUGCAGAAAGCUGUUUGUCGCUCUUUAUGUCUCCGUACACCAUGUGCCAUUCGUCGACGAACGUAGCGACUGUAAGCGAUCCCGCGCGGGAAACGCGGCCAUCAGCAGAUAGGAGGUACGAUAACGACGUCAACCAACGCAACGACAGAACCGCAGUCGUCACCACCCAACAUCGGCAUUGAAUUCCUUUAAAGGCUCCCAGCCCAGCCACCACCAAUCCUCAAUAUAUGAGUUUUAAAGGAGCAUACAUUUCCUUUUCCAUUCUAUAGUAGAACACUCCGCAGAGAAGGGAACUCGAGGGGGUGAAUCAAUAUCUAACCGUGAAGCUCAAGACUUGUCCUUCAAGCCGCAGUGCUAAGCACAUAUCGUCAUGACGGAGUUCUGUGCAUUAUGCUAUGGCUAUUAGUGGUAAUAGAGUUAGCAAAACAAAACAAAUCGCGUCAUAUUGUGAAGGAAAGUUCGUGCCACAAAAAUUAAUUUCAUCAGAAAUGCAACCGUAGACUAGGCUUAUUCCGGUCUGAUACGCAGAACUUGGUUUCUAGUUUAUUUGUUUGUACCGCUCAGACAUAUUAUUAAUUUAAUAGGUUCGUAGACAAGCAAGCAAGCAAAAUUGUUACGUUAUUUAUCCUAUUUUCCUUAAAAUGAUUUAGAAACUUGUCAAUGGAUUAUGUGUUUAAAGUCUAACGGAAAAGGCUUUAAGGUAAGUAGACAAACUAAGUCGCAGCUUCUGUAUCUAAACGAAAAAAUGAGUGCUUUUUAUUAGAAAAAAAAUAGUUAUUGAUUCACUAAUAUGAAAUAUCUAUAGCGAAGAUUUAAUAUAGCCCAGUGUUUUUGUUUGAACCCAAUUUACUGCAUUCAUAAACCUACUUUGAAUCUAGUUAAUUGGCAACGGGUUGUUAUGUUAGGUUAAAUUUGACAGUUUGUAAAUGGUAAUUACACAUAAGAGUAUUCCCAUCCAUAUAAUGUCCCAAAUUCUUACGACAGUUACCCAUAAGUAUCCAUCUAUCUCUCGCAUCCUUUGUAAGAAGCUAAAACCUCUUUUUCCGAUAAAUUUCAUAGCCAAAAUGUUGCCUUCAAUUAUCACCAUGUUCUAUCGCCAGCGAUCCCCUACAGUUGCGUUUGUUAGAAAGGAGAGCAAAUUAGUGCCAGCCCUGUAUUCUGCAUUAUUUUAGUAUAUAUGUUUAUAUAAUUAGACGUGGAACGAAACGGAAGUUGCCGCUACAAAUCGUAAAUGAAGGUCUGUCUGUUAGUGGGUAAAGUAAGAUAUGACUUCAUUCAUCGACUUUACGCACGACACAGUCAAUGCACGCUACGCUCCUUCGCCGUUGGUUACUGCGAAGUCCCAUUUAACUUAUCCAUCACCCGCGGAGGAGGCAUAGUAGAGGCUCCGGCAUGAAGCCAGCUCGUUACGCUCACCGUGACGUAAGUUGGAUAAAUCGUUACCGUCGAAGUGAUCUCUGCUGCAUAACUCAACAAACUCCGAAGCGACCUGCGUCGUUGUUGAAGCUGUAGACGUAUCUCUUAAACACGUUACGUGAGAGAAUCAUUACAUCUGAAUGCCCACUUAAUGCAUAUGAGCAUCUACAGCUUCGGAUGACCACGACGACAACAGUUCUAUUUAAAUUGAUGAAAGAUGCAUUGGCAAUUGA